GCGCCCGUAGCUCAGCUGGAUAGAGUACCUGACUACGGAUCAGGGGGUCGGAGGUUCGAAUCCUUCCGGGCGCG
This 74-nucleotide transfer RNA is filed under the name Bdellovibrionales bacterium. Its description in RNAcentral is "tRNA-Arg". It matches the Rfam family "tRNA". Rfam says of the family: Transfer RNA (tRNA) molecules are approximately 80 nucleotides in length. Lineage: Bacteria; Pseudomonadati; Bdellovibrionota; Bdellovibrionia; Bdellovibrionales. The record is from RNAcentral. RNAcentral also lists the same sequence under 1 other name.